UGGUGGAGUGAUUCGUCUGGUUAAUUCCGUUAACGAACGAGACCUCGACCUGCUAAAUAGUUCCCUAUACUUUCGGGUAUAGAGGUGACUUCUUAGAGGGACUGUCGGUUCCUAGCCGAAGGAAGUUCGAGGCAAUAACA
This 140-nucleotide ribosomal RNA is filed under the name uncultured eukaryote. RNAcentral describes it as "partial 18S ribosomal RNA". It matches the Rfam family "Eukaryotic small subunit ribosomal RNA", at positions 1299 to 1458 of the family's 1831-position model. The record is from RNAcentral.